UCAGACGAUGCGUCAUGCUAUCAAUAAGCGGAGGAAAAGAAACUAACAAGGAUUCCCCUAGUAACGGCGAGUGAAGCGGGAAGAGCUCAAAUUUGAAAUCUUAAAGGGUUUCCCUUUACGAAUUGUAGUUUAAAGAAGUGUUUUCUGUUGAGGUUUUGGUAAAAGUUCUUUGGAAUAGGACAUCAUAGAGGGUGAGAAUCCCGUAUUUGACCUUUACUUUCAACUUUGUGAUACACUUUCAAAGAGUCGGAUUGUUUGGGAAUGCAGUCCAAAAUGGGUGGUAAAUUUCAUCUAAAGCUAAAUAUCGGCGAGAGACCGAUAGCGAACAAGUACCGUGGGGGAAAGAUGAAAAGAACUUUGAAAAGAGAGUUAAACAGUACGUGAAAUUGUCAAAAGGGAAGCGUUUGACACCAGUGUUGUUUUUCUGAAAAUCAAUUAAAGAACUGUUUAUGCUAAGUUGUUUAGACUUUAUCAGCUAAUCUGUUUAGUUUUGAGCUUUUCUUUAAUGCACUUUUCAGUUAACAAGUCAACAUCAAUUUCUUUUGCUGUAAAAAAGCUUGAGGAAGGUGGCUUGAGAUUCGUCUUAAGUGUUUAUAGCCUCUUGCCUAUGCAGUCGGAGAGAUUGAGGUCUGCAGCGUAGAUCCUUCGGGGCUAAAUGCAUUUGUGCUAAGUUAUAGCAUUUUAUAGACAACUUGUUGACUAUGAUUUGUCUUGUAGCUUACUCGCUUAUGUUAUUUUACCUACGCUUAGGAUGUUGACACACGCGCGUGCUCG
This 774-nucleotide ribosomal RNA is filed under the name uncultured Neocallimastigales. RNAcentral describes it as "partial large subunit ribosomal RNA". It matches the Rfam family "Eukaryotic large subunit ribosomal RNA", at positions 35 to 646 of the family's 3401-position model. The record is from RNAcentral. Lineage: Eukaryota; Fungi; Neocallimastigomycota; Neocallimastigomycetes; Neocallimastigales.